AUUGAACGCUGGCGGCAUGCCUUACACAUGCAAGUCGAACGGCAGCACGGGAGUAAUCCUGGUGGCGAGUGGCGAACGGGUGAGUAAUACAUCGGAACGUGCCCAGUAGUGGGGGAUAGCCCGGCGAAAGCCGGAUUAAUACCGCAUACGACCUACGGGUGAAAGCGGGGGAGUCGCAAGACCUCGCGCUAUCGGAGCGGCCGAUGUCAGAUUAGGUUGUUGGUGGGGUAAGGCCUACCAAGCCGACGAUCUGUAGCUGGUCUGAGAGGACGACCAGCCACACUGGGACUGAGACACGGCCCAGACUCCUACGGGAGGCAGCAGUGGGGAAUUUUGGACAAUGGGGGCAACCCUGAUCCAGCCAUGCCGCGUGCGGGAAGAAGGCC
Molecule: ribosomal RNA, 386 nt
Filed under: uncultured bacterium
Lineage: Bacteria
Description: bacterial SSU rRNA
Rfam family: Bacterial small subunit ribosomal RNA
Source: RNAcentral